This 1176-nucleotide long non-coding RNA is filed under the name Olea europaea (common olive). RNAcentral's name for it is "long non-coding RNA (OEUR_LNC014892)". Lineage: Eukaryota; Viridiplantae; Streptophyta; Magnoliopsida; Lamiales; Oleaceae. The record is from RNAcentral.
CACAUAAAUUCAUGAUUCCAGUGCCUAAUUAAGUUUUGAGUACACUGAGUAAAACCCUUCUUUUGCAUUUUGAGAGAAACUCAGGAAACUGAAAUGACACCCUUCUUAAUAGAUUGGUCAACAGUUUUAGACAUGGCUCUUACAUUUUUCUUAUGGAUAACUAUAGACAGUCUAGUUUAGUGAGUAAACAGUAAAUUAAAACUUAUAAAGAGAAUAGACUAUGAAAAAGUCAGGUAUUCAACCUUUGAUCAAUUAAAUGUUGGCAAAGAAUAUUGUGGGAUUUACUCAGGACGCACUGAAGUAUACAAGGAUUGUCUCUAAAUUAGGUAUAAUGAACUUAAAAGGGACAAAUUUUCACAGAUAUUGAGUAAUUUGUUAAUCAUUUGUGAUUGUGUACUGGUAGAGGAUCAAUGAGUGAAUUGCGGAGCAAAAGAAUGUAAUAAUGGACAUUUAUUUAGGACAAAGUUUCUUGAAGCACUUAGCAUAGUAUUCACUAUUCAGGAUAAAUUUUUCAGUAAUACAGCAGUAACUUGAAAAUAAAAGUUUUAAGGGUAACAGGAGCUGCCUUAGAAAAUGCAUCACAUUAUCUUGUAAUUGUGCAAAACAAUCCACAUUCUCUAUGGUUCUUUUAUUUAUUGCCCUGUGCCCAGUGGAAGUUGCCUCAUGCAGUGUUAUCCUCCAUGUUAAACAAUUCAAGCUUCUCAAUUCUUUCGAGGACUGAUACAACAAUUAUUACUGAAUCGAGUAUACAAGUAGGACAGAUCAAAGGAGCUGAUUUUGUUGUUUGUUGAUUGAUAUAUAUCAUGCUAUAAAAUAAAUUCAGAUGAGAGAGGGAGGUGAGCCGCUGGUUAAUAUUCUUAAAAUCCAAGCGGUUCACACAUUCCAGGUUUUUUCGGCAUAGUGAAAGUAAUUGAAUACAAGACGUGCAUUUUCGGUAUACAAUACUAUGUACGACUGGCAUAAUUGUGUAUUACGCGAGGCGUAGGCCUCUAGACGUUUGAGGCGUAAAUAUCACCAUGAACUUAAAAUGUCAAAAUAUUAUUAAAAUGCAAAAUAAAUGCAUAAUAAAACAUAAAGCAAUUUUCAAAAUUCAUAAUAUUACAAUUUAAAGUGUGCUAAAAACAAAAAGAAAAUUCUUUUAAGCAACAAAAAGCGAAUAUUACUAUGCUAUUCCCA